Non-coding RNA from Triticum aestivum (bread wheat), 131 nucleotides. NCBI's taxonomy places the organism in Eukaryota, Viridiplantae, Streptophyta, Magnoliopsida, Poales, Poaceae. The record is from Rfam.
CUAGUACUCCCUCCGUCAAAUACUUGUCAUCAAAAUGGGUAAAAAGAGAUGUAUCUAAAACUAAAAUAUGUUUAGAUACAUUCCCUUUAUCCAUUUUUAUGACAAGUAUUUCCGGACGGAGGGAGUAUCAG